This 123-nucleotide ribosomal RNA is filed under the name Cajanus cajan (pigeon pea). The record is from RNAcentral. Lineage: Eukaryota; Viridiplantae; Streptophyta; Magnoliopsida; Fabales; Fabaceae.
AGGUGCGAUCAUACCAGCACUAAUGCACUGGAUCCCAUCAAAAUUCCGCAGUUAAGCGUGCUUGGGCGAGAGUAGUACUAGGAUGGGUGACCUCCUGGGUUUAGGGUUUGGGAUGGGUGACUU